RNAcentral lists this ribosomal RNA (419 nucleotides) under uncultured bacterium. RNAcentral describes it as "bacterial SSU rRNA". It matches the Rfam family "Bacterial small subunit ribosomal RNA", at positions 355 to 774 of the family's 1533-position model. The record is from RNAcentral.
UGAGGAAUAUUGCACAAUGGGCGCAAGCCUGAUGCAGCGACGCCGCGUGUGGGAUGAAGGGGCUACGCCUCGUAAACCACUGUAGCCCGGGACGAAAAACGCCUUAGAGGCGUUAGACGGUACCGGGAAAGUAAGGGUCGGCUAACUACGUGCCAGCAGCCGCGGUAAUACGUAGGAACCAAGCGUUGUCCGGAUUUACUGGGGGUAAAGGGUGCGCAGGCGGAUGGGUAAGUCAUGGGUGAAAGUCUGCAGCUUAACUGUAGAAUUGCCUUUGAGACUGCUCAUCGUGAGUGUGGGAGAGGUCGAUGGAAUUCCAGGUGUAGCAGGGAAAUGCGUAGAUAUCUGGAAGAACACCAGUGGCGAAGGCGGUCAACUGGCCCAUAACUGACGCUCAUGCACGAAAGCGUGGGGAGCAAACA